This is a long non-coding RNA of Oncorhynchus masou masou (cherry salmon), 532 nucleotides long. RefSeq lists it as uncharacterized. NCBI's taxonomy places the organism in Eukaryota, Metazoa, Chordata, Actinopteri, Salmoniformes, Salmonidae. The record is from RefSeq and is a predicted model, not a curated record. The transcript has 3 exons.
CUUGAACGUGGCAAGAGAAGUCAAAGGGCGAAUUCGAGUGGAUCACUUUUUGUGAAGACGCCGAACAACGUUGUCCACCGCUUUUCAAAGCCGCUUACCGGCCUCAACAGCAGACCACGUGUAACUACACCAGCCCAGGACCUCCACAUUUGGCUUUUUCACCUGCGGUAUCAUCUGAAGGGGUGUGGGAAGUAUGCUGGUCAAAGCUGAGAAAAGCUCUGAUGGAGGAGCUCAACCAGGGCUUGCGACCACUGAAGCAAAAUGCAGAGAAGAAGUUCUGCAGCCGCUCGUUGUGUGUCAACAACAACAACAUCACAGACUUUAAUAAUACAUCUCACCUGGGUUCUACCUGUCCUUCAACGACAUCUCACUCACCAGUGUGUUGAGUUCACACAGUCACGCACACAGGAUGUCUCUGGACCAAACUGGUGCACUAUAUAAGCAAUAUUGUGUCAUUUCAGACAAGCCUCUCCCUGAAUGGACACAGGUGGCAGGGUGGUCAAAUGAAUUUCUCUAGUACAGGUAUUCCCAA